UUUCGACGGACAUCGACAAAACCCCCCAGCCACUGUCACGUCGGCCACCCAGCCACCGGACCGGUCAAGUUUUGACCGGCGUCGCACCCCAAGCCAGCUCCGACCUUCCUCCUACCUAUGCUUUCUCGACGGUGCUAUGCUAUCACCGAACACCAAAACCCUAGUUGCCUAGCUCGGACGACGACAACGAUGAUGCUGAUGUGGAACGGUGCGAGGGACCUAGUGUUAGAUUCGGACGACGACAACGAUGAUGCUGAUAUGGACUUUCUGUUGGUGCCAAUUUCGUUUGACUUGUUCGCAUUUUUAUGUGCAUCUGUUAUCCAAUUGCGUACCCAUUUGCCAAGGUUCUGGAUGCUGUACUUGGUCAUAGUGAUGAUUUGUUUAGGCGAGCACAGUUGAAAGCCCUAGUCUCUAUUCAUGGCAAAGAGGCUGGUAAGGGAGGUGAACUCACGCAUGAUGAGACAACAAUCAUCAGUGGAGCGCUU
Molecule: non-coding RNA, 485 nt
Organism: Prunus avium (sweet cherry)
Lineage: Eukaryota; Viridiplantae; Streptophyta; Magnoliopsida; Rosales; Rosaceae
Source: RefSeq, a predicted model, not a curated record